Long non-coding RNA from Alligator sinensis (Chinese alligator), 273 nucleotides. RefSeq lists it as uncharacterized. The record is from RefSeq and is a predicted model, not a curated record. The transcript is spliced from 3 exons. Lineage: Eukaryota; Metazoa; Chordata; Crocodylia; Alligatoridae.
CUGAGAGAAUAUCCUGCUAGCUUAAACUGGUAGGGAGAGUGAGCUUCAAGCCAUGGCAGAUGCCGAGGGGCCGAGACACGGAAUAAGCCUUGGCCGAGGGGACCAGAGAAUGAGGCUAGGCAAAAGCACUGGUGAGGGCACUCCAGGACUCGGAGGCAGCUUUCCUAUUAAUGUCAAAGGAACAUCAAAGUGUGACAGAUUUCUCCAUAGAGUCCACCCCGCCCAGCUGAUGCUCCAUACUGAACAGCUUGUUCGCCUGUAACCAUGACAACC